This 484-nucleotide ribosomal RNA is filed under the name uncultured bacterium. Its description in RNAcentral is "partial 16S ribosomal RNA". It matches the Rfam family "Bacterial small subunit ribosomal RNA", at positions 28 to 508 of the family's 1533-position model. The record is from RNAcentral.
GACGAACGCUGGCGGCGUGCUUAACACAUGCAAGUCGAACGCUGAAGCUCAGCUUUUGUUGGGUGGAUGAGUGGCGAACGGGUGAGUAACACGUGAGUAACCUGCCCCCUUCUUUGGGAUAACGCCCGGAAACGGGUGCUAAUACUGGAUAUUCACUGGUCCUCGCAUGGGGGUUGGUGGAAAGGGUUUUUCUGGUGGGGGAUGGGCUCGCGGCCUAUCAGCUUGUUGGUGGGGUGAUGGCCUACCAAGGCUUUGACGGGUAGCCGGCCUGAGAGGGUGACCGGUCACAUUGGGACUGAGAUACGGCCCAGACUCCUACGGGAGGCAGCAGUGGGGAAUAUUGCACAAUGGGCGCAAGCCUGAUGCAGCGACGCCGCGUGAGGGAUGGAGGCCUUCGGGUUGUGAACCUCUUUCGCUCAUGGUCAAGCCGCAACAAUGGUUGUGGUGAGGGUAGUGGGUAAAGAAGCGCCGGCUAACUACGUGC